CCUACGGGCGGCAGCAGUGAGGAAUAUUGGUCAAUGGGCGCAAGCCUGAACCAGCCAAGUCGCGUGAGGGAUGACGGUCCUAUGGAUUGUAAACCUCUUUUGUCGGGGAGCAAGGCCCGCCACGUGUGGCGGGAAGGAGAGUACCCGCAGAAAAAGCAUCGGCUAACUCCGUGCCAGCAGCCGCGGUAAUACGGAGGAUGCGAGCGUUAUCCGGAUUUAUUGGGUUUAAAGGGUGCGUAGGCGGAAGGUUAAGUCAGCGGUAAAAUGUCGGUGCUCAACACCGGCCUGCCGUUGAAACUGGUCUUCUUGAGUGAGCGAGAAGUAUGCGGAAUGCGUGGUGGAGCGGUGAAAUGCAUAGAUAUCACGCAGAACUCCGAUUGCGAAGGCAGCAUACCGGCGCUCAACUGACGCUGAGGCACGAAAGCGUGGGGAUCGAACAGGAUUAGAUACCCCAGUAGUC
Molecule: ribosomal RNA, 460 nt
Filed under: uncultured bacterium
Lineage: Bacteria
Description: partial 16S ribosomal RNA
Rfam family: Bacterial small subunit ribosomal RNA
Source: RNAcentral